RNAcentral lists this ribosomal RNA (373 nucleotides) under uncultured organism. RNAcentral's name for it is "partial 16S ribosomal RNA". It matches the Rfam family "Bacterial small subunit ribosomal RNA", at positions 527 to 896 of the family's 1533-position model. The record is from RNAcentral.
GUAGGUGGCAAGCGUUGUCCGGAAUUAUUGGGCGUAAAGCGCGCGCAGGUGGUUCUUUAAGUCUGAUGUGAAAGCCCCCGGCUCAACCGGGGAGGGUCAUUGGAAACUGGGGAACUUGAGUGCAGGAGAGGAAAGUAGAAUUCCACGUGUAGCGGUGAAAUGCGUAGAUAUGUGGAGGAACACCAGUGGCGAAGGCGACUUUCUGGCCUGUAACUGACACUGAGGCGCGAAAGCGUGGGGAGCAAACAGGGAUUAGAUACCCUGGUAGUCCACGCCGUAAACGAUGAGUGCUAAGUGUUGGGGGGGUUUCCCGCCCCUCAGUGCUGCAGCUAACGCAUUAAGCACUCCGCCUGGGGAUACGGUCGCAAGACUG